GUUUUAAUAAUUUAAAUAAAAUAUUAGUCUUGUAAGCUAAAAUUAGGGAACCCCCUUUAAAACU
RNAcentral lists this transfer RNA (64 nucleotides) under Nesophrosyne sp. 281 GMB-2012. RNAcentral's name for it is "tRNA-Thr". It matches the Rfam family "tRNA". Rfam says of the family: Transfer RNA (tRNA) molecules are approximately 80 nucleotides in length. Their secondary structure includes four short double-helical elements and three loops (D, anti-codon, and T loops). Lineage: Eukaryota; Metazoa; Arthropoda; Insecta; Hemiptera; Cicadellidae. The record is from RNAcentral.